Molecule: long non-coding RNA, 1005 nt
Organism: Cygnus olor (mute swan)
Lineage: Eukaryota; Metazoa; Chordata; Aves; Anseriformes; Anatidae
Exons: 2
Source: RefSeq, a predicted model, not a curated record
AAAAAAAAAAAGGGGGGGGGGGAAGGAAGGGGCGGAGGCGGCGCAGGCAGCGACGAACAAAGCCCGCGACCGGCGCCAGUCCCCCUCUACACCCCCGUGUGGCCGCUAUGGGGAGGAGGGAGCGUGCCUGGGAGCCGCUGCUGCUAUGGCGGGGAAGGGAAGAGCUGAGGCAUUCAAAGAAAUAACCAAAGGAAUGAAUAUGAGCAGGUCAUGAGUUAAGAAAAUGCCUACCCUAACCUUGAUCCUCAAGGUUUCUGCCUGUAGGUGAGUGCAGCUGCCUUUUAAAAGGCCAUGAAAACUAUUGUUAAUCAGUCAUGUCUACGCACUUCCGUAACCAGACAGCGUUAAAUGUUAAUUCUUUUGUACUGUACAGCAUUUUCAAAACUUAGGAACCAACUUUGAGUAUUGAAGGUGUACAUUCCUUCAUGGGUCAUUCUUAUCCUUGGGAUGAUGCAAGUUUUUUUCAUCAUCUUUGAAUCAAAGCUUGCUGGUUGUUUUUGUUUGUUUGUUUUGCUCCACCUGAAAGCCUGGCACUGCCAUACUGACUAGCAAUCACUCAGAAGAUUUACAUGUCACAAGCUGUGACUUCUGCUGUACUGACCAACACUAUUCUCUCCUAUACACUUUGUCCUUGUUCAUAUUGCAUUGAAUUGUCCUAUGUAACGUACAGAGAUAUACUCUGGGACAAAGGUUUUGUUGCCAACACAUACGUUGUCCUGCAUGGCUGCUGUUUUUUAAGAAGUUACACUUUUUUUUUAAUCAGUUACAAAAAUCUUGGUGCAGAAAAAGAAAACAAAACCUAUGUUGUUCAGAUUAAUCUGAGCAAUUUAUGUUGUACAUAUAACUCUUGAAGAUGUUCUGAUCUGGAGCCUUAGCAGAAAGAAUAUCCUCUAGCCCUCUAAUCAGUUUCUACUUAAAGUAGGCUGACACGUACUUCUUUUCUAGCAAAAUCUCAAAACAAUGAGUAUCGCAGUCAUGGAAAUUUCAAUCCACAUGCUGGUCAUU